Molecule: unclassified non-coding RNA, 379 nt
Filed under: Hevea brasiliensis (rubber tree)
Lineage: Eukaryota; Viridiplantae; Streptophyta; Magnoliopsida; Malpighiales; Euphorbiaceae
Source: RNAcentral
AAUCUUUCAGGUUGUCCAACACCCUAUUCCAUGACAACAAGAAAAGUUUGAGCAUGAGCAGAAAACAGACGUAUCUGUUUUUGCUCACUGUGAAGAUAGGACUUCUCACAAUAUUCUGCAGCAGAAUAAAGUUGAGGCCGCAAGUUUUUGAGCUCCUGCAAAGCUUUGACGAAGCUUUUGCUGCGCUCCAUGGAAACGUCAUCGAAGGUCAUGGGUGGAUUGUCCGACGCGGUUUGCUCCAAUUCCAUUUUUCUCAGCCGUUAAAAGCGUGAGUUAAGAAUUUGCGACAAAAAUGAAUUGACAUAUACAAACCCUAAACGCAUAAUAUUAAAGAAAAGCUGAGGGACUAAUAUUAUAUGAAUGUGCAAGUAAUAUAAAA